UGGGGAAUAUUGCACAAUGGGCGCAAGCCUGAUGCAGCCAUGCCGCGUGUAUGAAGAAGGCCUUCGGGUUGUAAAGUACUUUCAGCGGGGAGGAAGGUGUUGUGGUUAAUAACCACAGCAAUUGACGUUACCCGCAGAAGAAGCACCGGCUAACUCCGUGCCAGCAGCCGAGGUAAUACGGAGGGUGCAAGCGUUAAUCGGAAUUACUGGGCGUAAAGCGCACGCAGGCGGUCUGUCAAGUCGGAUGUGAAAUCCCCGGGCUCAACCUGGGAACUGCAUCCGAAACUGGCAGGCUUGAGUCUUGUAGAGGGGGGUAGAAUUCCAGGUGUAGCGGUGAAAUGCGUAGAGAUCUGGAGGAAUACCGGUGGCCAAGGCGGCCCCCUGGACAAAGACUGACGCUCAGGUGCGAAAGCGUGGGGAGCAAACA
RNAcentral lists this ribosomal RNA (427 nucleotides) under uncultured bacterium. RNAcentral's name for it is "partial 16S ribosomal RNA". It matches the Rfam family "Bacterial small subunit ribosomal RNA", at positions 355 to 774 of the family's 1533-position model. The record is from RNAcentral.